RNAcentral lists this long non-coding RNA (2497 nucleotides) under Calidris pygmaea (Spoon-billed sandpiper). Its description in RNAcentral is "lncRNA (ENSCPGG00000005496.1)". The record is from RNAcentral. Lineage: Eukaryota; Metazoa; Chordata; Aves; Charadriiformes; Scolopacidae.
GGUGUCAAGGACACACACGGAGAAGGUGGCACCCCCCCCCAGGGUGUCACCCACCCCCUGGCAUCGCCCACCCCCCCUGCUUUACCCGGCAGCGGUAGCGCAACCCCUCGAUCUCCUCCAUGGAGAACUUGUAGGGCUUCAGCAGGGACUCGCCGGUUUCUGGGGGACAAGGACAAGGGGGUCACCCUCUUGCCAGUGUCCCCUUUCCCCCCCCCCACUCCCCCGUGGUGACACCCACCCGUGGCCAGCGCGGCCUCGAUGCGGGCCAGUCCCUCCUGCUCCUCGGGCAGCGCCAGGGUGAGGGCCGUGCCGGGGUUGUCGGCGCGGGCCGUCCUGUGGGGCAAGCGAAAGGGGACACGUUUGGUGGCCACGGGGUGGCCGUGUCCCCACCCCCCUGUCCCUUUCUGUGUCCCCCCCCCCCAAAAAACCCCGAAACGUACCUGCCCACGCGGUGGAUGUAGGAGUCGAGGGUGGGGGGCACAUCGAAGUUGAUGACGGCGGCCACGUUUUGGAAGUCGAUGCCCCGGGCCACCCCGUACUCGGGGUCCUUGCCCUUGCUGGGGGGGGGGGACAAAGAGGGACAUGAGGGACAUUGGGGUGGCUCAGGGACACCCCCCUCCCACCAAAGGACACAGGGACAGACAGACAAGGGGACGGCUGGGACGCGCAUGGGGACAGGGGGGAAAGGGAUCCCCCGUGGGCACGGGGACGUGUGGCACGUGGUUAUGGGGUGGCACGUGGUUAUGGGGUGACAUGGUGACCCCAGAGCCGUGGGGACAAGGCAAGGAGACCCCCACAAAGCAGGGGACACUCUGGGGACAGGGACAUCCUCACAGGGACAGGGACAUCCCUGUGGGCACGGGGACAAUCUGGGCACGGGGACGUGUGGCACGUGGUUAUGGGGUGGCACGUGGUUAUGGGGUGACAUGGUGACCCCAGAGCCGUGGGGACAAGGCAAGGAGACCCCCAAAAAGCAGGGGACACUCUGGGGACAGGGACAUCCCCACAGGGACAUCCCUGCGGGCACAGGGACCUCUCCUGGGGACAGGGACCUUCCCUGGGGACAGGGACAUCCCCUUGGGGACAAGGAUCUCUCCAGGAGGUCCUUGUCUGGGGACCUUCCCUGGGGACACGGACAUCCCUGUGGGCAGAGGGACAACCCCAUGGGGACAGGGACCUCCCCACGGGGACAGGGACAACCCUGUGGGCACGGGGACAAUCUGGGCACGGGGACGUGUGGCACGUGGUUAUGGGGUGGCACGUGGUUAUGGGGUGACAUGGUGACCCCAGAGCCGUGGGGACAGGGCAAGGAGACCCCCACAAAGCAGGGGACACUCUGGGGACAGGGACAUCCCCUUGGGGACAUCCCUGCGGUCACAGGGACCUCCUCUGGGGACAGGGGCAUCCCCUUGGGGACAGGGACAUCCCCUUGGGGACAGGGACCAUCCCUGGGGACAGGGACCACCUCUGGGGACAAGGACAUCCCUGUGGUCACAGGGACCACCUCUGGGGACAGGGACAUCCCCUUGGGGACAGGGACCACCUCUGGGGACAAGGACAUCCCCUUGGGGACAGGUGCCACCCCUGGGGACAAGGACAUCCCUUUGGUCACAGGGGCAUCCCCACAGGGACAGGGACCUCCCUUCGGGCACAGGAACCACCCCUGGGGACAGGGACAUCCCCUUGGGGACAGGGACAACCCCUGGGGACAGGGACAACCCCUGGGGACAAGGACAUCCCUGUGGUCACAGGGACCUUCUCUGGGGACAGGGCCCACCCCUGGGGACAGGGACAUCCCUGCAGGCACAGGGACAACCCCACAGGGACAGGGACCACCUCUGGGGACAAGGCCAUCCCCUUGGGGACAGGUGCCACCCCUGGGGACAUCCCCGCGGGCACAGGACGUUGUUGGGGACAGGGACACCCCGAGCAGAAACACCCCCAUGGCCCUGGGGCCACCUCACCUCCCCUUGGCCUCAGCGGGCCACGGCCCCGGUGAUACGGUGGCACCUAAGGGGACAUUGGUGGCACCUAAAGGGACAGUGGUGGCACCCGGGGGGGUGGCACCCGGGGGGGGGGGGGUCUCACCUCUGGCCCGUGCCCUUGCGUUUCUUGCCGGGGGGGCACCCCACGGGCAGGGCCGGCGCCUCCUCGUCGGUGGCCACGAUGUAGUUGUAGAUGCCCUGGUUGAACUGGGUGAUGACGUGGCACCUGGGGGACAAGGACAUGUCACCGUCACUGUCCCCAACACCCCCCCCCCCCCCCCCAACACCCCCCCUCCGCUUUGGUGUGACACCCCCCAGAUUCCCAGGUGCCCCCACCCUUCUUCCAAAGGGCACCCUCCUGGGACCCUCAGGGUGUCACUGGCCCCCAUGGGGCAUCUCCCCGGGCACCCCUUAUGUCACCCGGGGCACCCUCGGGGACCCCGUGUCCCCAAGGGGCACCCCUUGUCUCUGCGGGUACCCCAUGGCCCUUUGGGCACCCCUUAUCCCCUCCU